Long non-coding RNA from Rhineura floridana, 3125 nucleotides. RefSeq lists it as uncharacterized. Lineage: Eukaryota; Metazoa; Chordata; Lepidosauria; Squamata; Rhineuridae. The record is from RefSeq and is a predicted model, not a curated record. The transcript is spliced from 3 exons.
AAAAGGAAGCCUCCCAACAAGAGGGCAGGAAACGAAACUGAUGGCCUAGAAACCGAAACUUGGGGUCCAGUUGGCCGUCAAAGGGAAAACGGGGGCAGGUCAACAGGAGCGGGGGAGACGCAACCAACAGGAGCCGGGCGCAUAUUUAGCGUUUUCAGAAGGGCUUCGGUCCUACACUGGCCCUGCCUCGCUCAAGUCAGUAACUAUUUGAGCCAGCCCCUGUCUUUGCUGGCUGAAUCUGGAGGAUUGUUUUGUCCAAAAUAGCGUCGUAUCAUCUUUUUUUACCUCUGCUUUGGCUGGAGAUAUACUUAGAACUACAUCAAAAGUCAUUCAUCAUCUGUGACCAUGAAUAUGUUUUAUUUUUAUAUUUUCUUUCCUGCGCUGAAGUGUUUUCUCCCCAAGGAAUGUUUUCUUUCGUGUGUAUAUCACAGAAGAUUUUUAUUUUGAGGCAUUUUUGACUAGAUCCUUGAAUUGCUCCAAGACCAGGACACGAUAUGCAACUGGCAUGCUAUUUUCCUGUAUUGUUGCAAUAACAGCAUAGGGGCCUGCUUCAUUCUACCCAACCACAGAACUAUUUUCAGGCCUAUUUUGGCUAGCAACCUGAAACGGACACCUUGUGCAAGUUUGCAAUCUUUUCAUACAGUCACUCGGGGGGAGGGGGGGAAUGAAGACUCUUUUUAUUAUUCCAGUUUCUUUGCCUAGCAUCAGCUUCCACUGAACAUGAACAGGAUGAAUUUUGUGCAAGCCAUCCCACAGUAUGCUUCACGACCAUAAUAUUGUUUUAUUUCCAUUGACACAUUGAAUGUAAUUACUUAUGCAUUGUCCUUUAAGGAUGUGUUGUUGUUAUUGUUUUCCUUUUAUAUGUAUGGCUAUUUUGUUCUUUAGAUGUUUUUGCUUUUCAAAUUCCUCUGAGUGAUUCUGUAAUAGGGGUUUACUGAAUUUGGUUAUUUCAGAUGUGAGGUUCAUCAGUGUAGAGUUUGGCCCCUUUGUUUACUUUCUCACUCUGUCAUAACAAUGGUUAAGAAUAGGUAACAAUUAAAGUGAAUGGAUGACAAUACCAUAGGAAUUUAGGAUUUGUUUGUGAAAAUGAUAAGUUUGGAAUCCCAUCAAGAUUGCUUUCUCUCAAAAUGUUUAUUGUAUUUUAUUGUGUUUUCACGCUAAGUAUUGAUUGUAUACUAUGUAUAUGGGUGCGUGUGCCUUAGAACAUUAUUGUGAUUAUGUUGUUAUUGAUAAGUACUAUAUACAAACUAGGCUAACAUACAUCAAUAGAUGCUUGUGGUAUUAAGGAAUAGUAGGGUGUGAUUUUUCAUUUAAAGUGCCUGUAUGGACCCUCCAGAAAAAAAUUAGUUAAUCCAGAUUUUUUAAACACCUCAAACCCACAAUCCCCAGCUUUGGUCAUGGCCUAACUGAUCUCCAGAAGUUACUUUCUCAUCCUAUGUACAGAAACAAUUAGAAGCAGUUAAACCAAUGGGGGAGCAAGCUACACCCUAGAUAGCACGAUUGCCAUACAGUCAUUUACAUUAUAGAUAAGCACUCACAGAUAUAGACACAUGGAUGAUUUGGAAUUCCCUGUGUGGCCGGGGUAAGGGCGCCAGAGGAGAUUUAACCCUUAUCAUACACCCCAUUGUGGUGAUUUUGAAUUCUGAUCUUUGUCUAAUUAGCCCUUGUAAUGUGUUUCCAUCUCAUAUGGCACAGUCACACCCUGGAAGUCAGCAUUGGAGCCCAGGGGCAGAUCUGUGAAAGGACGGCUGUGUAUAUCUGCCUUCUAGCUAUAGCAGGGGGGAGUGAUAUGGCUUGGCUAACCCCAUUUUGGUUCAAGUGGAACCCAGGAGGUGCAAGACCAAGAGCUAUAACUCCCACCCCAUUCUCACACACCCCCAUCUAAUGGCUGGUAAUGCAUUCCAGAGGUUUUGUGCGCAGGAAAAACGAGGGCAGAAUUAAAUGCUAUUGCAUAAAUGUUAUCUUAUUCCUUGGCGGAUACAUCCCACCCACAGUGAAUCCCAUUGUUCUUUAGAAGGAGCUUUAGUGUUUUAGUGUCAAUUAGAAGCACACAUACAGAUACACCCACGCACCAUUUACCCUACAAGCCAGAACAGCUGGGGUUUCUGAAAUGUUACACACAUGGUACUCACCUUACUUUGGAUCAUGGCAGGAUGGACCUCACUAUCCCAGACCAAUGCCUGGCCCCUUUCUCCUUAACCUUAAGUUCAAGCGAACUCCCUUUUAUCCACAAGUAGUUAAAUUCAGCCAGCUGAUUGAUCCAUGGGCUCAAUCAGGGCUGAAAAUGGGGGAAUUGUUAGGAAAUAUUUUAUUGCUAGACCCCAAAAGUUGUUCAGAGAUGCUAAGUUGUAGUCAGAGCCAGUUUCAUUUCUUCCCAUGAGAAAUAACACCCAAAGGCGCCUCUCUGGCUAGAAUAAUAAUAAUCUUGGAAAGAAGAUAAAGUGUACCCCCCCUCUGGAAUGUUAUUAUUUUCUCUUGCCUUGUUUUACUUUAUACACCCUGUACACUGUAACUUUAUGUCAUACCCAGCACAAAGAACGAAGUCUUCCCUAAUAUCUUCCUUAUUCAUAAGUUUUACAUCACACAGCUGAGUAAAUAACUUCUACUAGCCCCAUGUUUAUCUUCCACCAAGUGUCAAAGUAACUCUAAUACUCGCUUUUCCUCAGUUCUUAUCUCACAUUAAGUUUCUUAGAUUGACAAAUAUAUGAAUUCCUUAUCACCUCCUUGCCUUUUAGAAUUAUGAGUAAUGUAACAGAGAUGAAGACGCGCUUGCUUUAUCUAUGUAACACUGUAUUCCCUUCUUGUUAUGAUUUUGCAACAAUACCUUGUUUUGCUUAUGAACCCUAUUUAAUGAACCUGCAAUCAAUAAACGUUGCUCUUUGCCCUGACAGACCCCUGUCUGUGCAGAGCAGAGACCCCUCUUGAUCAAGCAGCUGUGUGUGUGUCUAUUCCAUGUUUAUUUUAUGUUUAUUGGUAUCUGGCUGAACCACUGAAACAGGCAAAUUAAAUUGCUAAAGCUCGCACUCCUAUUUUAAGGCUGAGGGGUGCGCUAACUCUCCCUUCUUGGGGAGGGGGCUUAAAUUUGAACCCUACAGAGGUGAGAGAAGUGCUCAGCAAUGAAUGAA